RNAcentral lists this ribosomal RNA (497 nucleotides) under uncultured bacterium. Its description in RNAcentral is "partial 16S ribosomal RNA". It matches the Rfam family "Bacterial small subunit ribosomal RNA", at positions 28 to 507 of the family's 1533-position model. The record is from RNAcentral.
GAUGAACGCUGGCGGCGUGCCUAAUACAUGCAAGUCGAGCGAACAGACGAGGAGCUUGCUCCUCUGACGUUAGCGGCGGACGGGUGAGUAACACGUGGAUAACCUACCUAUAAGACUGGGAUAACUUCGGGAAACCGGAGCUAAUACCGGAUAAUAUAUUGAACCGCAUGGUUCAAUAGUGAAAGACGGUUUUGCUGUCACUUAUAGAUGGAUCCGCGCCGCAUUAGCUAGUUGGUAAGGUAACGGCUUACCAAGGCAACGAUGCGUAGCCGACCUGAGUGGGUGAUCGGCCACACUGGAACUGAGACACGGUCCAGACUCCUACGGGAGGCAGCAGUAGGGAAUCUUCCGCAAUGGGCGAAAGCCUGGCGGAGCAACGCCGCGUGAGUGAUGAAGGUCUUCGGAUCGUAAAACUCUGUUAUUAGGGAAGAACAAAUGUGUAAGUAACUAUGCACGUCUUGACGGUACCUAAUCAGAAAGCCACGGCUAACUACGUG